AGGAAAAAAAGAAGGAUAAAGACAAAGAGAGAAGUAGAGAUGAGAGGGAACGGUCAACCAGCAAGAAAAAAAAAGCAAAGACAAAGAGAAGGAUCGGGAACGAAAAUCUGAGAGCGAUAAGGAUGUGAAAGUCACAAGGGAUUAUGAUGAAGAGGAACAGGGAUAUGACAGCGAGAAGGAGAAAAAGGAAGAAAAGAAAAUGGCAGAUUCUUCUUCUCCUAAAGUAAAGGAGUCUGCGGCUGAGAAAGGAAG
Meleagris gallopavo (turkey) is the source of this 252-nucleotide non-coding RNA. The record is from RefSeq and is a predicted model, not a curated record. NCBI's taxonomy places the organism in Eukaryota, Metazoa, Chordata, Aves, Galliformes, Phasianidae.